This 273-nucleotide ribosomal RNA is filed under the name uncultured Staphylococcus sp. Its description in RNAcentral is "partial 16S ribosomal RNA". It matches the Rfam family "Bacterial small subunit ribosomal RNA", at positions 505 to 777 of the family's 1533-position model. Lineage: Bacteria; Bacillati; Bacillota; Bacilli; Caryophanales; Staphylococcaceae. The record is from RNAcentral.
GUGCCAGCAGCCGCGGUAAUACGUAGGUGGCAAGCGUUAUCCGGAAUUAUUGGGCGUAAAGCGCGCGUAGGCGGUUUUUUAAGUCUGAUGUGAAAGCCCACGGCUCAACCGUGGAGGGUCAUUGGAAACUGUAAAACUUGAGUGCAGAAGAGGAAAGUGGAAUUCCAUGUGUAGCGGUGAAAUGCGCAGAGAUAUGGAGGAACACCAGUGGCGAAGGCGACUUUCUGGUCUGUAACUGACGCUGAUGUGCGAAAGCGUGGGGAUCAAACAGGA